GAAAUGCGAUAAGUAAUGUGAAUUGCAGAAUUCAGUGAAUCAUCGAAUCUUUGAACGCACAUUGCGCCCGGGAGUAAUCUCCCGGGCAUGCCUGUCCGAGCGUCAUUUCAGCCCUCGAGCCGCUAUUCUUAGUGGAUCGGUGUUGGGGCACUACGGUAAAACGUAGGCCCCGAAAUGAAGUGGCGGUCCCGCCGCGGCGUCCUAUGCGUAGUAACUUUCAGUCUCGCAUCGGGUCCCGGCGGUGACCUGCCGUCAACCUAAUUAUUUUCUAUGGUUUGACCUCGGAUCAGGUAGGGUUACCCGCUGAACUUAA
Molecule: unclassified non-coding RNA, 313 nt
Filed under: uncultured Ascomycota
Lineage: Eukaryota; Fungi; Ascomycota
Description: sequence contains ITS1
Rfam family: 5.8S ribosomal RNA (bases 1-105)
Source: RNAcentral